Molecule: long non-coding RNA, 433 nt
Filed under: Elaeis guineensis (African oil palm)
Lineage: Eukaryota; Viridiplantae; Streptophyta; Magnoliopsida; Arecales; Arecaceae
Description: long non-coding RNA (EGUI_LNC041518)
Source: RNAcentral
CCUUGUGAUACCUACACCUAACUAUUAGGACCCGACAUAUAGGCAAGGACCAUACUAUCAAAAUGCCCUGCAACCUUCCACCACUGCACAUAGUUUAGCUUUUGAGGAGAAGGUCUUGAAAGCACUGGAAUGAUUGGAAGUUAAUACCCAGACCCUUUACUCCCACACGCAAUCAAUUGCUAAGCUAAAGGCCUAAAUAGAUCAAUUAGCUACAGCCUUCAGUAGAAGAGAGGAGGAAAAGCUACCCAGCCAACCCAUAGGCAAUCCUAGAGGGCAGUAUAUGUUGAAAGCUUGAAUGUCCAUGAAAUCUUUUUCGAGCAAGCUAAAUCUGUGAUGACCCUUAGAAAUGAAAAGAUCUUAGAACAGCUAGAAAGAGCCAACACGUCAGGAACCCAAACUCAGACCAAAUUACCUGACAAUGAGGAAGACCCCA